GUGGGGAAUUUUGGACAAUGGGCGCAAGCCUGAUCCAGCCAUUCCGCGUGCAGGAUGAAGGCCUUCGGGUUGUAAACUGCUUUUGUACGGAACGAAAAGGUUCUCUCUAAUACAGGGGGCUGAUGACGGUACCGUAAGAAUAAGCACCGGCUAACUACGUGCCAGCAGCCGCGGUAAUACGUAGGGUGCAAGCGUUAAUCGGAAUUACUGGGCGUAAAGCGUGCGCAGGCGGUGCUGUAAGACAGGCGUGAAAGCCCCGGGCUCAACCUGGGAAGUGCGCUUGUGACUGCAGUGCUGGAGUACGGCAGAGGGGGAUGGAAUUCCGCGUGUAGCAGUGAAAUGCGUAGAUAUGCGGAGGAACACCGAUGGCGAAGGCAGUCCCCUGGGCCUGUACUGACGCUCAUGCACGAAAGCGUGGGGGGCAAACAGGAUUAGAUACCCCUGUAGUCC
RNAcentral lists this ribosomal RNA (450 nucleotides) under uncultured bacterium. Its description in RNAcentral is "partial 16S ribosomal RNA". It matches the Rfam family "Bacterial small subunit ribosomal RNA", at positions 354 to 796 of the family's 1533-position model. The record is from RNAcentral.